This 460-nucleotide ribosomal RNA is filed under the name uncultured bacterium. RNAcentral describes it as "partial 16S ribosomal RNA". It matches the Rfam family "Bacterial small subunit ribosomal RNA", at positions 338 to 795 of the family's 1533-position model. The record is from RNAcentral.
CCUACGGGUGGCAGCAGUGAGGUAUAUUGGUCAAUGGACGCAAGUCUGAACCAGCCAUGCCGCGUGCAGGACGACGGCUCUAUGAGUUGUAAACUGCUUUUGUACGAGGGUAAACUCAGAUACGCGUAUCUGUCUGAAAGUAUCUUACGAAUAAGGAUCGGCUAACUCCGUGCCAGCAGCCGCGGUAAUACGGAGGAUUCAAGCGUUAUCCGGAUUUAUUGGGUUUAAAGGGUGCGUAGGCGGUCGGAUAAGUUAGAUGUGAAAUCCCGAGGCUCAACUUCGGAAUUGCCUCUGAUACUGGUAGGCUAGAGAGUAGUUGCGGUAGGCGGAAUGUAUGGUGUAGCGGUGAAAUGCUUAGAGAUCAUACAGAACACCGAUUGCGAAGGCAGCUUACCAAGCUACUUCUGACGUUGAGGCACGAAAGCGUGGGGAGCAAACAGGAUUAGAUACCCGUGUAGUC